Manis pentadactyla (Chinese pangolin) is the source of this 2223-nucleotide long non-coding RNA. RefSeq lists it as uncharacterized. The transcript has 3 exons. Lineage: Eukaryota; Metazoa; Chordata; Mammalia; Pholidota; Manidae. The record is from RefSeq and is a predicted model, not a curated record.
GUCUGCCCACUGGUCCCUGGGCAGGUGGCAGGUCCCCCUUCCUCUCUUAACCUGUCCCUCUCAACCCCUGCCAUUGUGCCUCAGCCCCCAUGCUGUGUGGCAACAGCAUCUCUUGUUGGAGGGGCUGGCUGUGACUGGGAGUCAUCCUUUGAGAACCAGACAUGGUUUGUGCACUUAUGUCCAGACAGGAAGCAUCCUUGUCUGCACCCCUAAAACUAUCAUGUCUCAGCCUCCCCUGGACAGUCCCAAGGCCUCAGGUGAGGCAAGCAAAGCAGACCAGCCCCUCUCCUGUCUUUGGAUGUCCACCUUCCAGGCUGCAGAGGGUACACAGCCCCUGGACCUCUCUGCAGCCCAGUUGCAGCCCCUUACCCCUGAGCUUCCCCAUCAGCUGGCCACAUCAACAUGUUCUUGGUCCCGGGAGCACUCCACUGUCUCCCCACUUGCUCCCGAGGUGGGUCCCUACUCUGCUGCUCCCCCUCACCCUUCCCCUUUAGCCGCGAAAGGGAGGGGCAGUGUUCCAGGCACAAAUUCCACUCAGAGAAUUUUAGGUAUGCCCUUGUGUCCCAGUGAGAGAGCUGCCUGCCUGUUUUCCAUUUAUAUCAAGAUUGUUUGCAUACUUUUGUAAUUAAGGGGAGUGUCCAGUGGAAGGAGUGUUUAGAUGAUCUAUAUGGAUAGCUCAAGUCUCUGUAAGUUUUGGCUCUGAAUUCCAAUUAGAAAAGCUUCUCCUUUUGCAUAUGAGUUGACUGAUGUUGUGAGUGUAAACUGCAUUUGGUUAUUUCUGGUAUCUAUGGCCACUUGGAUUGAUUUUUGUUUGUUUGUUUUACAUUCCAUUCCCCAGUUACAGAAAGGAGUCCCUUGGUGUGUGAAUAUGUGUGCCUGUAGAAGGUAGGCCUGGUCGGGCCGGGGAAAUGUGUGGCAUGCACAUAAGUUGAAAUUCCACUUUUAUGCAUUUUUUUAAAAAAACCUCUUGAGGACAUAGGGGAUGUCAGUUUCCUAUGGAAGAGACACCCUGACCCAUUGUUCUUAUAAAUAAUCUCAAGGGGAAAAAAAAGUUUUCGUUCUUUCCCCACUCAUUGGGUUCAAAUAAAUUAAAAAUCUGAUUUUCAGAAAUACUGCUUUGUGUUUGUUUCUACUUGAUUGUGGCUGGGUAGCCUGGAGUCUCAGUCACAGAAUGCAGAGACACUGGGAAAUUUAUAAAAGAUCUUUGAGGGUGAUCAGAAGAAAGUCAAGACCCCUUGGGUUCAGCCCUUCCUUUAUUGAAUUCCUACAGUGUGUUCCUGGAUCUACCACUGUCUUGCUGUGUGGACUCAGGCCAGGUCCUUAAUCUUUUAGUACUUCAGUUUCCUUCGGUGACGAUGGGGAUAGUAAUAAAACAACCUCAGGCAUGUUGCAGAAAUUAAAUCUGUAAUAUGUGCUAAUAAAAUAUACUGGUUCAAAAUAAUGUCAUGCAUGCAGAAGGUGGCACACAGUAAAUUUUCAAAAAUGGUCAUUGUUCCACAGGGGUAUUCCCAGAUGGAAUAUAAUAUCCACAAGAACAGCGCCAACAGGUUCCCAAGCUUUGAGCCAAGGACUGCAUAAAUGAAGGGUGUUUCAUAAAUUCUUAGUUUCCAAGGACCUGGCAUUCCUUUUUUAACCUUCAGCUCAGCAAAGGGAGAUCAUCUGCUGUGAGAAAGGGACUUUACGUGGAUGUUUGCCAUCCUGCCAUCCAGUCCUUCAAGGCCUUCAUCAGAACAUCACAGACAUGGAUCAGCAAAUCAGGGAUAAAUGUAUGAGGAAACUGAGGCUCAGAAACACGGACACGUUUCCCCAAUGUCCAGCAACAUGCAGAAGCACUUGGGUUCAGGUCUGAGUCUACAACCUCAGCUCUGCCAAACAGGGAUAAAAAGCUGAAAGGAAGGUUUGCAAAGUCAGGACUGUGGUGGAGCACAAAAAUCUGCAUUUUGAACACGCUUCUCAGUGAUUGAAGAAGCAAGUCAGCAGAAUGCUUUUGGAUCAUCACGAUGUUUAAAGCACCCCUGCAAUUUGCCUAGAUGACCGCUGAGGAGAGUAACAAUGAGUUUGAGAUGGGAAAGAGUCUAUAGGUGUACUUAUUUUAAAAACAUCAAUAAACCUCUACUGAAGGCUCUCCACAAGUAUGUCCCUUUUCCCCAGGGGCACCAACACCUCGUGGUUUCCGGCGUGAUCCCAGGAGCCGCCUCCCGCUCGACCCCGCUGCACCCUCCG